RNAcentral lists this ribosomal RNA (525 nucleotides) under uncultured bacterium. RNAcentral's name for it is "bacterial SSU rRNA". It matches the Rfam family "Bacterial small subunit ribosomal RNA", at positions 28 to 531 of the family's 1533-position model. The record is from RNAcentral.
GAUGAACGCUAGCGGCAGGCCUAAUACAUGCAAGUCGUACGGCAACACAGUUGCGAGCAAUCGCAACCGGUGGCGAGUGGCGCACGGGUGAGUAACGCGUAUGUAACCUACCCUUCUCCGGGACAUAACUCCGCGAAAGCGGUGCUAAUAUCCCAUACCAACUCAUCAAGACAUCUUCUUGAGUUGAAAGCAGCAAUGCGGUGAAGGAUGGGCAUGCGUCCCAUUAGCUGGUUGGUGAGGUAAUGGCCCACCAAGGCUACGAUGGGUAGGGGUUCUGAGAGGAAAGCCCCCCACACUGGUACUGAGACACGGACCAGACUCCUACGGGAGGCAGCAGUAAGGAAUAUUGGGCGAAUGGUCGAAAGAACUGACCCACGCCAUGCCGCGUGCAGGAUGAAGGCCCUAUGGGUUGGUAAACUGCUUUUAGUCCGGGAACGUAAAACAACCCGUUUUACUUAAACGGGACCCGGAACGGUAACCGGCCGUGAAUAAAGACAUCGGCGUAACUACCGUUCGCCACGCACG